Piliocolobus tephrosceles (Ugandan red Colobus) is the source of this 888-nucleotide long non-coding RNA. RefSeq lists it as uncharacterized. The record is from RefSeq and is a predicted model, not a curated record. NCBI's taxonomy places the organism in Eukaryota, Metazoa, Chordata, Mammalia, Primates, Cercopithecidae. The transcript has 3 exons.
CCCAGGCUGGUCUUGAAUUCCUGAGCUCAAGCAAUCCACCCACCUUGGCCCCUCAAAGUGUUGGGAUUACAGGUGUGAGCCACCGGGCCUGGUCCUGGGUCAUAUUUUCCUGCCUCUUUGUAUGCCUGUUAAGGUUUGAUUGGAUGCCAGAUGUGGCUGGAAAGGCCUCAUGAUCACUUACUUCUAUUAAUUAUCUGACUUCAUCUCUUAAUCCCCACCCCUCCCAGGACUCUGAUUUCACCACCCUGAACUUCUUGCACACUUCCUCGUUCAUUUGCAAGUGCUGUCCCCUUUCUCUGGAGCACUCUUCCCUAGGCAGUCCCCAUGAGUUUCUCCCUAACUUCAUUUGGGUCUCCAUUCAAAUGUCAUGGUACCAAAAACACUCUAUCACCUUUCCUUGCUUUAUUCACUUUUAAACUUUUAUAACAACUUGCCAGCCGUGUUACUUACUGAUUGUCUAUUUUUAUCUCAUCACCCACCUCUGCUAAAAUGAUCGCAUCACUGAGAAACUACUGCCAUCAGCUAUACAAUGAAAUUAUUUUUAAGCAACAACAACAUCAGCAGAGAAGAGGGACUGACAGGGUCCAAUGCAUCAGAGGGGUCCAAACUGCUGAUUACGUCUGGCCUAUCUAUCAACAAAAAUCUGCCAGUAUCUUUGUGAUCACCAGAAAAGCCCUCGAGUUUCCAGCAGUGUUUCUUUUUAAUUUCUGUCCCCUCGGGGUGAUGGCUCUCCUUCUGCUAGGCUGACCAGGGGGCCCGGAUGGUGUGCCUGAUAUCUGGGAGGACAUCUCCAAGAAUGUGUGACCUCACCUAGAGGUUGAAGGCUUUACAGUGUUUAAGCCAGAAAGGACUUCGAAGACCCUUUAGCCCAGGGGCUCCCGACUUAGU